CUAACUCUGUGAAAAAUACAUUAGCAGAUGCAUGUAGGCGUUAGUCAAAAAAGAUCUGUUUCUUCAGUGCAAAGACUGAACUGUCCUUUUAUCUCAGCGCAUAGCUUCUGGCCUGGGCGUGGCGUGGAUUAUUGGGCGAGUUCUUUACGCAUAUGGCUACUACACGGGAGGUAAGUACAUGUUGACGUCCACCAGGGAAAUACACCUUAGAUUUAUCUUCUUUACCAUGUAUUAUGGGCCCUGUGUGCACGGGCCCACAGAGGGCAGAGAGGCUAUCAGUCCCCUGGAGCUGCAGUGACAGGUGGCUGCAGGUCACCUAACAUGAAUGCUGAUGACUAAAUUUUGAUUCCUCUGCAAGAGCAGCAAAUGAACCUAACCACUGAGCCAUCUUUUCUGCUCCCAAAACAAAUUUUAUUUAUAUAUAUAUGUAUAUAUACAUAUAUGUAUAUAUGUGUGUAUAUAUGUAUAUAUAUGUGUGUAUAUAUGUAUGUAUAUAUGUGUGUAUGUAUUAUAUAUGUGUAUAUAUACAUAUAUACAUAUAUACAUAUACAUACAUACACACACACACACACAUAUAUAUAUGUUGAGACAGGGUUUCUCUGUAUAGCCCUGGCUUGCCUGGUAUUCGCUCCAUAGACCAGGCUGGCCUUGAACUCACAGACAUAUGCUUGCCUCUGUCUUGUGCAUCAGUGCCCAGCCAAAUUUUAAAUAUGGUUACUGUAUUUUAACUCUUGGUUGGGAUUUAAAAAUGGGGGAAG
Molecule: long non-coding RNA, 758 nt
Filed under: Rattus norvegicus (Norway rat)
Lineage: Eukaryota; Metazoa; Chordata; Mammalia; Rodentia; Muridae
Description: long non-coding RNA NONRATT008924
Source: RNAcentral